UCCUGGCUCAGAAUGAACGUUGGCGGCGUGGAUUAGGCAUGCAAGUCGAGCGCGAUAUUUUUGAAAGAUACUUCGGUUGAUUUCUUAAAUGGAAAGCGGCGAAAGGGAGAGUAACGAGUAGAUACGUACCCAAGGGUUCGGGAUAGCCAUGCGAAAGCGUGAGUAAUACCGAAUAAUGUCUCCGGACCAAAGAUUUAUUGCCCUUGGAGCGGUUUGCUUACUAUUAGCUUGUUGGUGGGGUAAAGGCUUACCAAGGCUUAGAUGGUUAGCGGGUGUGAGAGCAUGACCCGUCUCACUGGGACUGAGACACUGCCCAGACACCUACGGGUGGCUGCAGUCGAGAAUCUUCCGCAAUGGACGAAAGUCUGACGGAGCGACGCCGCGUGCUGGAUGAAGGCCCUCGGGUUGUAAACAGCUGUCGUAGGGGAGGAAAUUUUGACCGAUCCUAGGAGGAAGCACAGGCUAAGUCCGUGCCAGCAGCCGCGGUAAUACGAACUGUGCGAACGUUAUUCGGAAUCGCUGGGCUUAAAGGGUGCGUAGGCGGGUUGGUAGGUCAGAUGUGAAAGCCCACGGCUCAACCGUGGAAUUGCGUUUGAAACCACCAGUCUUGAGGGGAUCAGAGGAGAGCGGAACUGAUGGUGGAGCGGUGAAAUGCGUUGAUAUUAUCAGGAACACCGGUGGCGAAAGCGGCUCUCUGGGAUCUUUCUGACGCUGAGGCACGAAAGCUAGGGGAGCGAACGGGAUUAGAUACCCCGGUAGUCCUAGCUGUAAACGAUCUGUACUAGUCUGUGGAGACUCCCACAUCUUCUCGGACGUAGCGAGAGUGUUAAGUACAGCGCCUGGGGAGUAUGGUCGCAAGGCAA
This 863-nucleotide ribosomal RNA is filed under the name uncultured Planctomycetota bacterium. Its description in RNAcentral is "bacterial SSU rRNA". It matches the Rfam family "Bacterial small subunit ribosomal RNA", at positions 17 to 896 of the family's 1533-position model. The record is from RNAcentral. Lineage: Bacteria; Pseudomonadati; Planctomycetota.